Molecule: long non-coding RNA, 149 nt
Organism: Sapajus apella (tufted capuchin)
Lineage: Eukaryota; Metazoa; Chordata; Mammalia; Primates; Cebidae
Exons: 3
Source: RefSeq, a predicted model, not a curated record
GUAAUCCAUGACAAAAACCUCAUGACUAUCUCAAUAGAUGCAGAUAAGGCCUUUGAUACAAUUCAACACUGAUUUAUGCUAAAAACUCUCAAUAAACUAGGUAUUAAUGGAACAUGUCUCAAAAUAAUAAGAGCUAAACUCACAGCCAG